Molecule: small nuclear RNA, 123 nt
Organism: Gorilla gorilla gorilla (western lowland gorilla)
Lineage: Eukaryota; Metazoa; Chordata; Mammalia; Primates; Hominidae
Gene: U4
Rfam family: U4 spliceosomal RNA
About the family: U4 small nuclear RNA (U4 snRNA) is a component of the major U2-dependent spliceosome. The structure of U4 snRNA from yeast and human has been reported.
Source: Ensembl
AGCUUUGUGCAGAGGCAGUAUCAUAGCCAGUGAGGUUUAGCCACGUUGUGAUUAUUGCUAAUUGAAAACUUUUCCCCAUAGCUCACCAUGACGACUUGUAAUACAGCAAGCAUUAAAAAUAAA